Molecule: long non-coding RNA, 344 nt
Organism: Argiope bruennichi
Lineage: Eukaryota; Metazoa; Arthropoda; Arachnida; Araneae; Araneidae
Exons: 3
Source: RefSeq, a predicted model, not a curated record
AGAACCAUUGAUUAUCCGACGCAUUUUAAUAAAUUGUGCAACCUUCAAAAGGUUUAAGCACAUUCAUUCAAACAGCUUUAACUUAGAUUUUUUAUUAGAUGAUAUAUUCACAUUUUAACAUCUUGAAGUACUUGGAGGUCAUCUGCGUUUCAGGUUACUUCAUAUUUGUUAUUAUAUAUGUUCCUUCAUCAUGGACAUCUUAUAUAGAAAACUCGAAACAAAAGGUACCUCAGGAAACUGGAAAGUGCGAAUUUCUCUUUAAAAGGUAAGAGAAAUAGCAUGCCUCUAAAAAACACCUUAGAAACAUUCCCUGUUCUGCCAAUCAAAUAAACAUGUGCUUGGAC